This 132-nucleotide small nuclear RNA is filed under the name Zalophus californianus (California sea lion). RNAcentral describes it as "U4 spliceosomal RNA (ENSZCAG00015015592.1)". It matches the Rfam family "U4 spliceosomal RNA". Rfam says of the family: U4 small nuclear RNA (U4 snRNA) is a component of the major U2-dependent spliceosome. The structure of U4 snRNA from yeast and human has been reported. U4 snRNA presents a k-turn RNA motif in the 5p-SL related to recognition of Snu13 protein. Lineage: Eukaryota; Metazoa; Chordata; Mammalia; Carnivora; Otariidae. The record is from RNAcentral.
AUAUUUGCGCAGUGGCAGUAUCAUAGCCAAUGAGGUUUAUCCGAGGCACGAUUAUUGCUAGUUGAAAAAUAAAAGUAUACAGUGGGAUUGGAAUUACAUGUGAUAUUUUAAAUUCUUAUAUGUUAUGUGUAC